CGGCGGACGGGUGAGUAACACGUGGAUAACCUACCUAUAAGACUGGGAUAACUUCGGGAAACCGGAGCUAAUACCGGAUAAUAUAUUGAACCGCAUGGUUCAAUAGUGAAAGACGGUUUUGCUGUCACUUAUAGAUGGAUCCGCGCCGCAUUAGCUAGUUGGUAAGGUAACGGCUUACCAAGGCGACGAUGCGUAGCCGACCUGAGAGGGUGAUCGGCCACACCGGAACUGAGACACGGUCCAG
RNAcentral lists this ribosomal RNA (244 nucleotides) under uncultured Staphylococcus sp. RNAcentral's name for it is "partial 16S ribosomal RNA". It matches the Rfam family "Bacterial small subunit ribosomal RNA", at positions 96 to 334 of the family's 1533-position model. Lineage: Bacteria; Bacillati; Bacillota; Bacilli; Caryophanales; Staphylococcaceae. The record is from RNAcentral.